UACAGAGGUGGCAAGCGUUGUUCGGAAUUACUGGGCGUAAAGGGCGCGUAGGCGGCUUGGUCAGUCCCGUGUGAAAUCCCUCGGCUCAACUGAGGAACUGCACGGGAAACUGCCUGGCUUGAGUUCGGGAGAGGGAAGCGGAAUUCCGGGUGUAGCGGUGAAAUGCGUAGAUAUCCGGAGGAACACCAGAGGCGAAGGCGACCUCCUGGGUCGUACCUGACGCUGAGAUGCGAAAGCUAGGGGAGCAAACGGG
RNAcentral lists this ribosomal RNA (253 nucleotides) under uncultured bacterium. Its description in RNAcentral is "partial 16S ribosomal RNA". It matches the Rfam family "Bacterial small subunit ribosomal RNA", at positions 524 to 776 of the family's 1533-position model. The record is from RNAcentral.